UCAAAAUGUCAACAGAGAGAAGAAACGCGCAACAAAGUAGCAUCAAAUGACUGUGAACUUUGCCUCAUCGAUAGCAUUUCUGACUUGUUUUUGUAAAGAAUGUGAAUGAUGAACCGGAGUAUGGAUCAUUUUAGCACACUUAUCGCCGUGGUGUCAGGUGUAACGGUGUUGUAUCUCUUUCACUCAGUCUUUUACGCUUCUCACGUCUCAUUUAAAAUAACUCACACAGUCUUUGACUCCCAGAAGCAUUUGCCAGGUUCAGUUUACCUCAUGACCAGAUACAUUUAUCAAUGUCUCCGCAAAAAACGAGGAACAAUGAGGAAAAACAAAGACACAAACGACGAGCUUGUUUUCACUUUGGUCAACUGCAGGUAUGAUGCCGUAUCUUUGAGGAGGUUCUGCAGUGUUUCAGGUUAUGGUUGGGACUAUCCUGACAGUGUCUUCAGAGACGUUCCCUUAUGCUACCCUGAGUUUCUCUUCACCAGACUUCUCACUAUGAUUAUGUGCUCAGAGAGAUUCAAACUAAGCCCUUUGGGUCUGUUGAGUGUCUGUGAGAGUUUGAGUCUGAGCGAUGCCUUGGAUGAGCUGAAGAGAGAGACGUUCUCCCUGCAGGCUAGAGUGCUGAAGUACAGGACUGUUAGUGCUGGAGUGGAGGUGGAUCUCGCUUUAACUGCAUCUAGAGAUCAGCAGACCGUUUGGAGCAGCACACUGACUCUACUCUCGCCUAACAAUACAUACAGACCUGAUGCUCAGCCUGACUUAGAAAUCACCCAUGAUCCAGUCUCAGAGAGAUGCAUCAGCCUGGCUGUUCCUUGGUCCACAGGUGUGCGGAGCACCUGGGUGUUUGGUGACCUUUGCCCUCUGCCUGUGUUUGUUUGGCUGGGAUUUACCCGUCCCACCACACACCCACUGUGGAUGUUCUCCAGGUGCAUGGCAGAAAUGGAGAAACACAAAGGAGUUGAAGUGGUGAGAGCUCCUCUGACUGUGUCAGUCUGUUACAAACAGCCUGUGUCUUUACCGAGGAAAGUCAACAUCAGAGUCAGUGAAAACACUAGUGUAACCUUAAGCACAGCAUCAUUUUCGUUGGAGGACCACAGAACCAGGACACUGUACCUCUCAGGACAGAUAAAACGACAGACAAGCGAGAAAGCAGAAUGAUGGUGAUGUAAUCCUGACAGAAAGGAUACUAAGCACUCAACGGCUCGGGUGUCAGACAGGGUUAUGGUGGAACUGAGUAACAGAGGCCAUCACAAACAGUGAUCUCAGCCACAAACCUAAAAUACAAGGGCCCUAGGAAGCGACGCUCCUAUACGCUCCUAAUGAUAUUUGAAAUGUCUACUUUAAAGACGAUUAAGGGGACUUAUCAUAGAGAACAGGAAUCCUCUUGCUCUAUUGAACUGAAGGAAUCAAUGUCCUGUGUAGACAGACUCAGUUCACAACACUUACUCCUCAGUCCACUCUUACAGAUACUGUAUAAUAAUUCACAUAUAAAUUAAUAUUCUUUAUUCAGGAACUUGACCCACUCUGAUGAGCUACAGCAGAGGUUAGUCAAUCGUAACAUCAGCCAUUUACACACAGAAGCCUUAAAUAUACAGAAUCAAAACUGCCUGAUUAUUCCUAAGGAUUGGAGAGAGGUUUGAAAAUGGUCAUAUAUGACUAAAUAAAAGGUAAACAUGAAUAAAAAAAAUGCUACAAAAAUGUUAAAUAUUUCUAAUUUAAAUAGGGUUAUAUUCUAUACUUUUGCUUUUAAUUCACUAUUGUAUAAUGCAUAAUGCAUUGUACAUGUGCAGUCAAAUCACUUUUAAUCAGUGUCUGUGUCAGUAGGGGAGGAGUUUGAGUGGAGGGCCGUUUCUCAUGAAUAUUUCAGUCUCUCCAGUCUUUCCUUAUCCUUUCCCUAUGCAUGCACACACGUGUGUAAGUGCUCCAUGUGUAUUAUUCAUUAGUAUGUGUUCAGCGUAUGAGGAGGGCUUUCUCAUAAAAACUGCUUUCAGAACAACUUAACGUGUGUGUAUACACACAGUAUAUAAAAUAUACAAUAUAAAUAUAUUUUCUAUAUUAUGGCAGUAAAUUGACCUUGUUCGCACUGAAACAUUUACUUAAUUAUAAUGAGGAGUUAUCUAUGGUCUCUUACUAUGGUCAAUGUAAUAUAUUUCAUUUUGGGAGACGGAUAGAUGGAUAGAGAUUUUUAAAAUAUUAAUUUGAUUUAUUUUUUGCAAGCA
RNAcentral lists this long non-coding RNA (2219 nucleotides) under Sinocyclocheilus grahami. RNAcentral's name for it is "lncRNA (ENSSGRG00000021454.1)". Lineage: Eukaryota; Metazoa; Chordata; Actinopteri; Cypriniformes; Cyprinidae. The record is from RNAcentral.